This 5791-nucleotide long non-coding RNA is filed under the name Lactuca sativa (garden lettuce). RNAcentral's name for it is "long non-coding RNA (LSAT_LNC001134)". Lineage: Eukaryota; Viridiplantae; Streptophyta; Magnoliopsida; Asterales; Asteraceae. The record is from RNAcentral.
GGUAGUUUACUCACUGUUUUGAAUCAAUAAUUUUGAGUAUCAUAACAAGUAACUUCCAGGGGUAUUUGGUGGUAAAAAUAUCAAGCAAAAGGAAGGUGUAGAUGGGUGAAAUGGUGGCUGAAACACAAAAGGGACAGCAGCCCUUUAGUUCAUGGUUUUGAUGGCUUUGGAAGGAAGUUCUUGUGCUUGAAAAUGAGAUGAAGGUUGAGAGUAAUUCCCUGGAGUAUUGGCUGGUCAAAUGAGGGUAAAAUGAAGAGGAAAUUUCGUGGUUAUGAAGGAGGAAAGGGUGGAAGAGGAUAAGGGGACAAAACCUAGACUAGCUUGUGAUGGGAUGUGAGUUUAAGUGAUGUGAUCUUGUCUAGCCACUUGCUUGGGUGGUUGUUUAGAGAUAGAGUUAGUUAACUAACUAACUACUAGUUAUUUAGUUAGUUAGGAGUUCUAGUUAAGGAGAGGGAAGGUCUUAAUCUCGAAAAUUAGAAGAGGGAUUAAUAAGCAUUCUUAGUAAAAUGUCUUAAGUGAUUAAGCACUUAUUAGUUAAGUUGGCACUUAUCUCCACCAAUUCUCUUAUCUUAAUUGAUUUAGACAUCAUAAAACUUACAUGAAAUCAUUUUAAUUCAUGACUUAUAACUAGUCAUUCACUAGAUAAUAAUACAUAUAUACAAAUACAUACAUGUAUACUUAGUAUAAAAUAACAAUGUAGUUUUUGUGUAUUUGAACUUUAAUGUUUAUGUUUUAUUCUUUUUAUUCAAAAACACUUAAAUACAUUUUAAUUAUACCUUAUAAUAAUUCAUUUUAUAUUUUAAUUUAUUUAAAUAUAAAAUUUAUUGAGCAAUGUAUAAUUUCGUGACAUUUAACCGGUUAACCAUAUCGUUAAACACGUUUUGUCACUUUGGUUCGUAUAUUUGUCAAAUUUAGAUCCUUCACAUCUAUUAAGCAAACGUUUUACAUAGAACCUAACUUACUUAUCAACUAGAGACAUGUUGAUACAAAAAUUAAGUUUGUUGCAUUUAAAUGAUGUUAUAUGCUAAUUUCACAAACCGGUGAUGGUUCGUAGUCAUACAUCAUAACGAAAUUUAUCAAUAGUUACUUGUUUUAUAUUUCACAAUAACUUAUUUAAAUAAAAGAGGUUAAAUUCCUUCAACCAUUCUUAAUAAAAUACUCAUAUUGCUUAAUAAUCAAAAGAUAGCAUCGUACGAUCGUUCCUAUUUUUACCAAUUGUUACAUUCUCCCCCCGUUAAAAGAAUUUCGCCCCGAAAUUCAACUUGUAGACGGGAUAUCACUGAACAAUUGGGGGUGUUUCUUUUUUUUUCCAUUUGAUUCUCGUGUUCCCUUGUGAAUUCAGGUCCUCGCUUGGCGUUCCAACGGGCCUUCACUAUGGGUAUGCGGCUUUGUUUCGUCCUUUUGACCUCCUGAUCCAUGAUUUCCACCGGUUCUUUGAUGAAGUUUAGACUCUCGUUGUCUUCAAUUUCAUUAAGUGGAAUAACAAGAGUCUCAUCACACAAGCUCUUCUUCGGAUCCUAGGAUGCCUUCAAUUGUUCACGGGUUUGAACAAUCUUCUCUAUAGUUUCUCGUAUGAUCCGGGGGCUGGUGAGACUGUUGUUAGGAACUUGUCCCUUAGCUAGUUGCGUGUCACCUACCUCAACCCAGCACAGAGGUGAUCUACACUUGCUUCUUUAGAGAGCUUUGAAUGACGCGACUUUGAUGUUAAUGUAAUGGUUGUUGUUGUAUAAGGAUUCGAUGAAUGGUUCUUCCACUUUGUCUGUCAGUUUGAGGGUGAUAUUAAGGACUUUUUUAACGAAUAUCAAAAACACGAGGCGAAUCACCUGUCCCUUAUCCAAAAUGAUAGAUAGUAGUAUACUCUGCAGUCUCGCAAUCUUCUUGUGAUAUGCUCGUGUCAGUUUUUCUAUUUUUCUUUGUAGCCUUGGUCGAUAGAAAGUGUGUGGGUUUGGUUGAUUUGUCUACGAUUGCUCAAGUGGUAGCAUGUCCAUCCACUGUCCUGGGUAACUUGUCAUGGAGUUCAUGGUAUGACUCAUAACUGAUUCAUCUAUCAUCUCUUUGUGUUUAUAAGUCGUAUAUAAUUAAGAUUGAAAAGACAGUCGAAUCGGUGAUUCUAUUCUAAGCCCACAUCCAAACAAGGAAAAGGAUUUAAAGCGGAAUUACCAACCCUAAGUCCGUAGAAUCUUAAUUAUAUAGGGCUCCAAUAUAUACACUUAGUAAUCAUAGAUUCACUAGUAUGGGUCCAUAGUCUCUACUUGAGUGGGGUGAUUAACUUGGGUGAGAUGGCAUUUACAACAACCCUUUUCCACAACUACUGCACUUAGGUUGAUUUUUGAACUCGGGUUGCCGUACGGAUGGUAUUCCCAGGAGAUCUUCUCGGAAUAUAUCGAGAAGGUUACGGGCUUUUUCAACAUCCAUGAUGUCUUUCUCUUCUUGUUUCUUAUCCACAGCACGGGCUAGGACGGCGUGGUACCUCCUGUGUAGGUACUUCUGAGUCUUGUUGCAAAAGGUGAGUCGGGGGAUUGUGUCCGGUUUGUCGCCAUAGACAACGAGGGUUCUAUUACUCGAUGGGUUUAGGCGAAUGGACUUUUCGUAAUAUAUGAUAUCGGUAUGGUGAGGAAACUAACUAAUACGUUGUUAAAAUGAAAAUGUCGUAAAUUUUUAUUGUGACCGGUUUUAGGAUGAUUUGAAUGAAUUGGUUGAUUUAGUGUUAGAGUGCACCCUAUGUACACGUCUCUAGUGCUUUUGAUUAUUCCAAUUCUACUGUAAAUAUUUCGUUUAAGUUUUUGAGGUUUUUGGUUGAGAAAUUGAUUAAAUCUACGACUCACAAUACUCCUCUCCGCGUUGCUAUUAUAUAGUAUCCAUGCAUAUGUGCUAUCGGGAAUGAACGUACCGGAAUCUCAGCGGGGUCUAUUACUGCUUUCCCAUGCUCUGUUGCUAAAACACUUCCGACGCUCCUGACAUCUUUGUUUUUAGUCUCCGGGAACUCCUUUAUGAAAUGCCCUACUUCUCCACAUCUGUAGCAAGUCUGACUCAUCCCAACUUUUGUGUUCUGGGCGGUCUGUUGAGCCGGCACCCUACAGAAAUUUUUGGUAUGCCCCUUUUCAUUACAAUUCUUGUAGUGCAUUUCCCUGCACUUUCCUUUGUGAUGAAAGCUACACUUGGUGCAUUUUGGCAGGUUUCCAACAUAUGGUCUUGUCGGCACUAAGGUAGUAGGGAUGGCGGUGGUGUGGAAUGUCACUGUUUGUUGUCUUUUGGUAGGUCCUUGAUUUGGGGCGUCGUUGCAGGAACAUACUCGGGGUGUCCCUGGUUGUUAUUACAAUUGAAACUUUUGGCGCCGUUCCUGCUUUUGUUUUUGUUGUUAGCACCGAGUUGUGCCAUGACUGCUGUCACGGCGGCUGUUACCGAAAUUUGAAAUGGUGUAGGGUCUAUUUAUAGAACUAGUGUUGCACCAGUAUGCUGAUUACCUUCAUGUGUCGGCAUGAUUCUAUUUCGCGAGUGGCCUCCUCUGUUCUCAGUUCUGUGAUGACUGUCCAGGUUGUAGCUGUAAGGGUUCUUUGUCCAAAAACGACUAUCUCCUUUUCUAAGGAGUGUAGGUGAUCUAUAUUGUUCUCUUGAUCUGCUUUCCGGUCUAUAGGUGUUAUGGCCCGAAGUACGGUGCAGUGAGUUUAUGUCGGUUAUGGAUCAUCGGUCGUCCUCUGCAGUCUAUAUGUGUGGCUAGAUAGUUAAUUGCGGGUUGCUUCCUGAAAUGAGAGGUGGAGGUUCUCACACUCCUCUUGAUAGGGUAAGGUUUAUUGAUGGUAACUCCCGAACUUCUUUCUCCAUCUAGUCCCUUCGCGGAAAUCGUCUUCCUCGUAUUUUAUCUAUUAGUACUCUUCNUUCUUUUGGAUCCUUCUUGAUCCAUCUAUUGGCUUUGGUAGCAGGAUAGUAGGGAUCUAUGUGGAGAUGAAGUCUAGCUGAUAUGCCUAUGCGAGAAUAGGGGUAAGAAGCAUAUGAAGAAUCUAAGUGUGUGGUUCUAUUGUAACGCAAAAUACUCCUAUAGUAUUUUAAAUUUGUAUGUUAAAGUUUUCUUUGUAUGGUUUGUUGGUAAGUUUUAGACUCGUCAUCCACUACGACCAUUCCUCGGCAUACGUUGGUCACCUGUUGGAUAAAUAUAGUUGAUCAGGCUAUAUUCAUCCCAGACAUGAUUACACACCUCGAGGCUUACUCGCAGUGUUUAACUUCUCUUAAUACUUUUUGUUUUGUUGCCAAUAUGACUCUUUACUAGUAUGUUUGUAUGCACUUACAUUUUUCGUGAAAUCUCGGUCCAUUCCUGGUCCUUCUAUGGUUGCCUUGUGUAUACAGGUCAUAUACAGUCAAGAUUAAAUAGUCAGUCGAAUAAGUGAUCUUACCUUAUAUCCACAUCCAAACAAGGAAAAGGAAGUAAAGUGCAAAUCACAAAUUCUAUGUCUAUAAAACUUUUAGUAUAUACCACCUUAAUGUAUACACUUAGCAAACAUAGACAUAACAGCAAAGGACCCCUAAUGUUCCUGUUUUGAAAUUCUUAAGUCGGAGAGUUUUAGUCCCUAUGUAUUUAUAGUUUGUAUAUCUUAUGUGUUUUGAUAUACUUAGCUCACUAUAAACAAUGCUCUGAUACCAAUCUGUCACACCCCCAAACCGGAACGGCGGAAACGUUCGGGGGCGGAUGACUUCAUGUGGUAACGUAACAAAUGAAUACAUAGUAAAGAAAGCAAUACAACCAUCAUAUAUAUAAUUGAAAGUUUACAUUGUUAAAAGGUACAUGUUCAAAACCAAUUACAAUAUGAUGCCAAAAUAUGAAUUUAAACUGGCGCCGCAGCGUCCCUUCUUCAAAAGCUGUUUGUUACCUGUAAUUACUGAAUCCCUGGGACAUACAAGUAGUUUUGAAAGAGUAGAUCAACAUUUAAGCUGGUGAGUUUCAUAAGUAUUAAAUGACAAUGUUUGUAUGAAAUGAAAUGUUUUGUUCUUGUUUGNUAGAAAAAUCGUAUGAACGCGUGCGAGUAGUCAUUAGAAAGGUAUAAACUUGAGAUAUUUUCAUAUUGGACAGUUUUGAAUGAUAUUAAGUUUAAGAUGGUAAAAACAGUCCGUGAACAGGACUCAACUUUUCUAUAGAAAGUUGUCAUUUAAAUUUAAGUUAUGUUUAGUGUUCUAACUUGUAUUCCCCCCUUAAAACUUGAAGAAAACAUGAAAAUGUAGGGGUAUGAACUCACCUUAUGUGAAUACUUGAAGAAUGGAAGGUUGAAGAUGAACUUUUGGUUGUUGGUUUGAUGCUCCAAAACAACCACUCUUUUGGCUAUGUUGCUGUCACGAAAAUUUCACAGCAAAAGAGCAAGAAAAAGGGUAGUUUACUCACUGUUUUGAAUCAAUAAUUUUGAGUAUCAUAACAACUAACUUCCAGGGGUAUUUUUUGGUAAAAAUAUCAAGCAAAAGGAAGGUAUAUAUGGGUGAAAUGGUGGUUGAAACACAAAAGGGACAGCAGCCCUUUAGUUCAUGGUUUUGAUGGCUUUGGAAGGAAGUUCUUGUGCUUGAAAAUGAGAUGAAGGUUGAGAGUAAUUCCCUGGAGUAUUGGCUGGUCAAAUGAGGGUAAAAUGAAGAUAAAAUUUCGUGAUUAUGAAGGAGGAAAUAGUGGAAGAGGAUAAGGGGACAAAACCUAGACUAGCUUGUGAUGGGAUGUGAGUUUAAGUGAUGUGAUCUUGUCUAGCCACUUGCUUGGUUGGUUGCUUAGAGAUAGAGUUAGUUAACUAACUAACUACUAGUUAUUUAGUUAGUUAGGAGU